Pezoporus flaviventris is the source of this 4755-nucleotide RNA transcript. It is a transcript of the gene named AMMECR1 like, with no coding region annotated. NCBI's taxonomy places the organism in Eukaryota, Metazoa, Chordata, Aves, Psittaciformes, Psittacidae. The record is from RefSeq and is a predicted model, not a curated record. The transcript has 8 exons.
GGUUGUGAGGCGGAGGGAAGAGCGUCCUCUCUUCUCUAUGGUUGUGGCGGCACCACGGGGCCGACGGGAGGCUGGCGGACUAUGUACAUUUUUCCCUUAUUACCUCACGAGCAGGGAGGAGGCUGCCGGGAUAGCGGAGGACCUUCCCUCGGCCUCGCUCUAGUCCUCCAGGUCCCCGCGCUACCCGGCGGCCCCGGGAAGCCCGGCUCCCGGCCCGGCCGCGGCGGGCCCUGCCUCCCCCCGCCCGCCGGGCCCGCUUCUCUGGGGAGCCUCGUUCAGGCCCAUGGCUCCAUGAGGCGGGAGAAGGAGGCGGCGGGGUAGCAGCGGCGGCGGCAGGGCUGAGGCGGAGGAGAAGCCGCGUCCGGCCCGGGACGGGUGCAGGAGGGUUCUGCAGUGCUCCAGGCAGCAAGUUGUGAAGCAGGAUGGGAAAAAGACGCUGUGUUCCUCCACUUGAGCCCAAGCUGGCAGCUGGCUGUUGUGGGGUGAAGAAGCCCAAGUUAUCUGGGAGUGGAACGCACAGUCAUGGGAAUCAGGCCACAACUAUACCAGGCUCCAGUUCAGGUCCUCUUCAGAACCACCAGCACACAGACGGGAAUAAUGGAAGGGAGAAUGUAUCUGACUUGACUUUGGGCCCAGGAAAUUCCCCAGUUACUCGAAUGAAUCCCACUUCAGGAGCUCUGAGCCCACUUACUCGGCCCAAUGGAACUGCCAACAGCACCAAGAACCUGGUGGUGACAGCAGAGAUGUGCUGCUACUGCUUUGAUGUACUCUACUGUCAUCUUUAUGGUUUCCCUCAGCCACGACUUCCUCGAUUUACCAAUGACCCCUAUCCACUCUUUGUGACGUGGAAGACGGGGCGAGACAAGCGGCUUCGUGGCUGCAUUGGGACCUUUUCAGCCAUGAAUCUUCACUCAGGACUCAGGGAAUACACAUUAACCAGUGCACUUAAGGACAGCCGAUUUCCACCCCUGACCCGCGAGGAGCUGCCCAAACUCUUCUGCUCUGUCUCCCUCCUCACUAACUUUGAAGAUGCCAGUGACUACCUGGACUGGGAGGUUGGGAUCCAUGGGAUCAGAAUAGAGUUCAUCAAUGAGAAAGGUGUCAAACGCACAGCCACGUAUUUACCUGAGGUUGCUAAGGAACAAGAGUGGAGUGAUCGCAUCCUCCCGGCUCUGGGGCAAAAGACGAAGACUGGGAUCAGAUCCAGACCAUAGACUCCUUACUCAGGAAAGGUGGCUUUAAGGCUCCGAUUACCAAUGAUUUUAGGAAAACGAUUAAACUCACCAGGUACCGCAGUGAGAAGGUGACAAUCAGUUAUGCAGAAUACAUGGCCUCGCGUCAGCAUUGUUUCCAGAAUGGCACUCUUCAUGCCCCCCCCCUUUACAAUCAUUACUCCUGACACACGGCUGCAUGACCAGUCCCACUCCCCAGUUGCUGCCAACAGCUAUGACAUCAUUGGGGCAGAUGCCUCCUCUUCCUGGUCCAGUUAUUUCUAUUACUGCACCAUUUUAUGAUGCUAGCUUCCGUUGCCAAGUCUGCCUUCCAGCUGACCUGGGGGGACGAUGAGAGCAUGACAGAACUUCAGGGGCCCAAGCCUUAUCUCAGCCUUCCCUCUGAACGAGGGUUCAGUUGGAUUGGGGCUCCAUGCCUAUGAACUGUCGUGAGGUGCAGAAGACCUCUAGGAGUGAAAGUGCCACUUCGGACUGAUGCAUUCUUGUGUAUUACCGACGCUCUGGAAUCUUGAGUUGUUUGUUAUGGAAGCCCCCCAGAUCAAGUAGGAUCAUUCCCCUGGCAGUCUGGGCAACGGAGUCCAACAAAACAUUUUUUAGGUUCUUUUUAAGUUGAUUUUUUUUUUAAUCUCUUGUAUCUGUUGUGUACUGAGAGCUGAUUGCAGUCCCCACACAUCACAGACGGACAUUAUGAUACUGGGGAGUGUUGCACAUCUGGAUAGCACCUCAUCCUCGCAGACAGAAAACACUUAAAGACGUGAAAAGCCUUUGGAUGGUAUUGCAGAUGAAUUUAUUAUUUAAAUAAGAAGGCUUUAAUUAUCAGAUCCCACUGAGGGAUGGGUUUCUAGAAAUCCUCUUCGUUUACAGUUUUCUGGGUUUUUUUCAGACAGUGCUUUGUAAUGCAGCCUGCUAUGAAACAGAAUACUAUUAGACCUGUAAGAGAGCAGCAUGGCACAUGCUGUGUGUGCAUAGGAUGAGUUACUUGAGUGUCCGUGGACAGUCUGCUCUGUUGCAACCAAGUGUUUUGCCUAAACAUUUGUAGCAGAGCCUGAUUGCACGAGGGGUGGGGAGGGCAUUGGCUGUAGUCAUACAAGCGAGACUAGUGACUGAAAUCUGUUUAGCUUAAGCUAAAGUCUCGGGGACCUUCCUUUUGACAGGACAGCCACUUUCUCUGGUGUGACUACUGACCUUUGAGAACUGUGAGUAUUCCAGUUUAUAGCAGGCCUAUAGAGAAGAGCUGUGUAGUUUAACUGGUAAAUUAUUAUCUUACACAGUUUAAUCAUUACCACAUUAAGGCAAUGAGUGGGGAAACCCGUAUUACCCAGAGUGUGUAAAACUCGUAUGCAUCCCUUGUUUCUUCUCCCAUCGUUGAUGAUUACAAGAAAUACUUUCUCCUAAAAGGAAGAGUGAAGUUAUCCCGUUGUUAUUCUGCAGUGUCAUUGAGGGAUGUCGUGAACUCAGUGAUGGAUGUCCAAAUGUAAUUUGUGGGGGCUUGCUUUGUUUUCCAAGUUUCUGUAUGGUCAACAAUGAUUGGGAAAGAAAAAAACAAGUGCAUAGCAAGAGUAAUGGCUGCUUGGUUGCGUAUAUCUUUAAAGCUUUCAUGCGUGUGGUAAUGAUGGCUUUUAAAACUGACUGGUGUUUGAAGCCUGAAAUUCUCUCCUGGCAUGGCAGGGAAUAGGGCUGGUAGAAAGCUCAGAACUGCAUGCUGCUGCUCCUUCUGGUCCUAGAGAAGCACACAGAAUUGUGCAGUUUUGCUUCAUAUUGGUGUAAUAUCCUCCUGCUGGAGGACAGAUACGUGAGGGAAAGGAGGGGGUCCUAUUCUGGAUAAUGGUGCAAUAUUGACCCAGCUUUCCUCCUGUACUGGGUCGUCCUUAGAAAUUGCCACUUUUCCCUUGUGAUGUUGUUGAAAAGCAGUUGAAGAUUAAGGGAUUGUUUCUUCGUUUCCUGCUGCUGAGAAUAAAUCGGUCUUGUUAAAAACUCGAGUGGUUUGUAAUUACUCUCCCAGGUGCCGUGUAGUGAUGGGCGAGGGUGGGGUCAGCUCUGGACAUGCCAUUCACCUUUCAGCUGUCAAACAGUAUGAUACAUAGGGCUACACUCAUUACUGUUCAAGUGUUCUAUGUUAGAAUUUAAUUUCUAAGAAGUUUAAAACAAGCAAAAAAAAUGGUGCUAAAACUUCACCCCUGAGCACGCUCAGUGAGACUGGUCAUGCAGGCAUAUAGUGCCAGGCUUUUCAACAGUAUUGUUUCUUUUCCCAAUGUUUGCCCUGUUCUGUGUCUUCAACAGUGUAUGGUGUUUCCUGAUUUCAUUUUAUUUGAAUAGGGGAUAUCUAAGGGGUGGGGUGGGGAGGGUUAGCUGUCAUUUUUAAGAACAGGAUUUUAGGAUCGAGUGACUUGGUUGGUUGAAGCCUGAAGUGGGCAGGUGGUCUGGGACUGGGGAAGUUUUAUCCUCUCCCACUUCCAUUUCCCCACUCAGCCUGUUUAAGAAAGCAAAAACAAAAAUGCCUCUAAAUAUGUACUGUGUUCUUGUCUUGUUGCAGUGAGAAAAGAAGUUGGCAAAUCAGAAACAUUGGUCUGCCUAAGAAACAGGCCCUCGCAGCUUUAGUCCCAUAAGGGUCCAGCUGUAAAACUAGUCAAAAGGUGUGUCAAUAGUUAAGUUAGCUCAGAAGAAAAAUGCAUGACAAGGACAUGUGGUCUCAGGAAAUAAUCCCAUUUCUAGAUCAUUACAUGGCAGCUAUGCAUAAGGAUGGAAGAGGUGAACUAGAAACAAAACUUGCUUUGAGUUGUCUUGAGACAGAGGCGACCAAGAUCAGUGACCAGUUGAUGUAAGAAUUUCUCAACAGUAAUUUGACUGGGACCGCAGGUUAGAACUGCUCCUUCUCAAAGCAACUGCUACCUGGUUUGAUCUGGACUUAACUCAUCCUUAGGAGCAAGUGCCUUUUGGUCUAGAAGGGCUUAUUCUCAUGACAACCACAAAUGAGAAAUAAUCUCACUGCAAUUAUGAAUUGUCUUUGUUUUACAGUAACUGCAGGAGAAUGUCUUUGAUCACUGGAGUCUGUCAGUGUUGGAAUGUUGCCACUGUGAGGUUCUUUACCUUUUUCUUUUUCCAUAAUGUUCAACAGUCAAUCUCAGCUGAUGCCAUUUCAGUUUGGGAAUGUUUUAUAAUCAAAAUAUCACAUAUCUACAAUUUAUCAGAGAAAAAAAUCCGUAAGAGAAUCUAAGAGUUCAUUUUAACCUUUGCACAGAAUGAUUUGUUUUCAUAGUACAUUAACAGACAUCUGCAAUCUUCACUAUUAGUGCUGUUUUCUGUUUGUAUUCUGGAAACUACAUGUUGUUUUCUUGGGUUUUUUUUUGGUUAAUUUAUUUCCUUAAAGCAGGAGACCUCUUUUGACCUUCAGUGCAGAGAUGUCAGACCAAUUCUUUGUAUUACACUUGGUUGCCUCCUACCUAUAUUAUAACUUCUGAGUGUAAAUAAUUGAACUCUAUCCUCUAAUGAAGUAUUGUAGAGAAUAAAUCAUAAUGGAUAAAGA